AUGAGAACGGCUAACACCAAAACAUUUCAGGGUCGGGCAGUUCGGAGGAAAAAUUUGACUGUAGAGCGACAUGCAAGUAAAAAUUACACAAGAGCUAUGUUUGAGGAGUUUGGUCGGCUACUGAUUGAAGGAACAUCUUACAAUGUUACCGAGGUGGAGAAGAUGGAGAAGUAUAUUACAACACACAACAAUGCGUCAAGAAGAGAGAAGUGGAGCAGGGUUGAGUACUCACGGUCAGUGAUGACCGGUCCGAGUUUACAUGCGAGUGUGGACAAUUCGAGCACACUGGAAUGUUGUGCAGCCAUGUUUUGCGGGUCAUGA
RNAcentral lists this ribosomal RNA (321 nucleotides) under Triticum aestivum (bread wheat). RNAcentral describes it as "partial small subunit ribosomal RNA". The record is from RNAcentral. Lineage: Eukaryota; Viridiplantae; Streptophyta; Magnoliopsida; Poales; Poaceae.